CCGACUGCUAUUGGGUGAGGAUAAGCAUGCGGGGUGGAUGGGAUACUUAAAUUUUCAUGGCAACUGUCAGUAACACCAUGAUCACUUCCUAUGGAAAAAAAUACCUCGGAAACUGAGGAUAAUUUUCAUAGUGAAAGGCUGGAAAAGUUUUCAAUGAAAGGGAUAAGAAAAUGGUUCUAUCUGCUAUAGGAUAGGAUCGUGGUCGAUUAUGGUUGUUGGUGAGGUAACGGCUCACAAGCCGAUAAUCGAUAGGGGCCGUGAGAGCGGGAGCCCCGAGAUGGGUACUGAGACAACGACCCAGGCUUUACGAGGCGCAGCAGGCGCGAGACCUCCGCAAUACACGAAAGUGUGACGGGGUUACCCAAAGUGUUCAUUUAUGAACUGUGGUAGGUGAGUAAUAUCCCCUACUAGAAAGGAGAGGGCAAGGCUGGUGCCAGCCGCCGCGGUAAAACCAGCUCUUCAAGUGGUCGGGAUAAUUAUUGGGCUUAAAGUGUCCGUAGCCGGUUUAGUAAGUUCCUGGUAAAAUCGGGUAGCUUAACUAUCCGCAUGCUAGGAAUACUGCUAUACUAGAGGGCGGGAGAGGUCUGAGGUACUACAGGGGUAGGGGUGAAAUCUUAUAAUCCUUGUAGGACCACCAGUAGCGAAGGCGUCAGACUGGAACGCGCCUGACGGUGAGGGACGAAAGCCAGGGGAGCGAACCGGAUUAGAUACCCGGGUAGUCCUGGCCGUAAACGAUGCAUACUAGGUGAUGGCACGGCCAUGAGCCGUGUCAGUGCCGUAGGGAAACCGUUAAGUGUGCCGCCUGGGAAGUACGGUCGCAAGGCUAAAACUUAAAGGAAUUGGCGGGGAAGCACCACAAGGGGUGAAGCCUGCGGUUCAAUUGGACUCAA
RNAcentral lists this ribosomal RNA (890 nucleotides) under uncultured archaeon. Its description in RNAcentral is "bacterial SSU rRNA". It matches the Rfam family "Archaeal small subunit ribosomal RNA", at positions 23 to 915 of the family's 1478-position model. The record is from RNAcentral.